GUUUGUAUAUUGAAAGAUCUCGAGCGCGCACCUUCUUCACCGGUUUAGAACUGUGCCCAUUCGAUGAAACUGUUAUUUGAGCGGCUUAUGUACCGUAACAAGGCUAUACCAAAUGAAGAAUAUAAUGAAUGUUAUUAUACAGGACACAGAUGCGGCGAGAACGGUUGCACAUUGUUGUUGUCAUGUAUAUCAGAAUGUGAUAAGCACGGAAUUGGUAUAAAACUUGGAUUAAGGGAAUAGAGUGUGUAGCUGCUGAUGUAUUGAUUGUGAAGGUUGAACAUUCAUACU
This 288-nucleotide unclassified non-coding RNA is filed under the name Bombus terrestris (buff-tailed bumblebee). RNAcentral's name for it is "misc RNA ENSBTSG00005034661.1". Lineage: Eukaryota; Metazoa; Arthropoda; Insecta; Hymenoptera; Apidae. The record is from RNAcentral.